Molecule: long non-coding RNA, 162 nt
Organism: Etheostoma cragini (Arkansas darter)
Lineage: Eukaryota; Metazoa; Chordata; Actinopteri; Perciformes; Percidae
Exons: 4
Source: RefSeq, a predicted model, not a curated record
CCAAGCAAAUACAGGGCCAGUAUCGCAUAUACCGAUACGCUAUUGAUACUUUUAAUAAUUAAUGUGGAUGCAUCAUCAAAUUGCUAAAUCUGAAUGAAUUUGCAUGACCUAUACGUGGUUUGGGGAUUUUUCCUUUGGAUUAUUAAUAAGUUCAUAUCUAGG